CAUGCAGUCGACGAUGACCCGCUUCGGUGGGGGAUUAGUGGCGAACGGGUGAGUAACACGUGGGCAAUCUGCCCUGCACUCUGGGACAAGCCCUGGAAACGGGGUCUAAUACCGGAUAUGAUCACCGGCCGCAUGGUCUGGUGAUGGAAAGCUCCGGCGGUGCAGGAUGAGCCCGCGGCCUAUCAGCUUGUUGGUGGGGUGAUGGCCUACCAAGGCGACGACGGGUAGCCGGCCUGAGAGGGCGACCGGCCACACUGGGACUGAGACACGGCCCAGACUCCUACGGGAGGCAGCAGUGGGGAAUAUUGCACAAUGGGCGAAAGCCUGAUGCAGCGACGCCGCGUGAGGGAUGACGGCCUUCGGGUUGUAAACCUCUUUCAGCAGGGAAGAAGCGAAAGUGACGGUACCUGCAGAAGAAGCGCCGGCUAACUACGUGCCAGCAGCCGCGGUAAUACGUAGGGCGCAAGCGUUGUCCGGAAUUAUUGGGCGUAAAGAGCUCGUAGGCGGCUUGUCGCGUCGGAUGUGAAAGCCCGGGGCUUAACCCCGGGUCUGCAUUCGAUACGGGCAGGCUAGAGUUCGGUAGGGGAGAUCGGAAUUCCUGGUGUAGCGGUGAAAUGCGCAGAUAUCAGGAGGAACACCGGUGGCGAAGGCGGAUCUCUGGGCCGAUACUGACGCUGAGGAGCGAAAGCGUGGGGAGCGAACAGGAUUAGAUACCCUGGUAGUCCACGCCGUAAACGUUGGGAACUAGGUGUGGGCGACAUUCCACGUUGUCCGUGCCGCAGCUAACGCAUUA
RNAcentral lists this ribosomal RNA (793 nucleotides) under Streptomyces sp. B1Y54. RNAcentral describes it as "bacterial SSU rRNA". It matches the Rfam family "Bacterial small subunit ribosomal RNA", at positions 54 to 862 of the family's 1533-position model. The record is from RNAcentral. Lineage: Bacteria; Bacillati; Actinomycetota; Actinomycetes; Kitasatosporales; Streptomycetaceae.